GACGAACGCUGGCGGCGUGCUUAACACGUGCAAGUCGAACGGAAAGGCCCUGCUUUUGUGGGGUGCUCGAGUGGCGAACGGGUGAGUAACACGUGAGUAACCUGCCCUUGACUUUGGGAUAACUUCAGGAAACUGGGGCUAAUACCGGAUAGGAGCUCCUGCUGCAUGGUGGGGGUUGGAAAGUUUCGGCGGUUGGGGACGGACUCGCGGCUUAUCAGCUUGUUGGUGGGGUAGUGGCUUACCAAGGCUUUGACGGGUAGCCGGCCUGAGAGGGUGACCGGCCACAUUGGGACUGAGAUACGGCCCAGACUCCUACGGGAGGCAGCAGUGGGGAAUAUUGCACAAUGGGCGGAAGCCUGAUGCAGCAACGCCGCGUGCGGGAUGACGGCCUUCGGGUUGUAAACCGCUUUCGCCUGUGACGAAGCGUGAGUGACGGUAAUGGGUAAAGAAGCACCGGCUAACUACGUGCCAGCAGCCGCGGUGAUACGUAGGGUGCGAGCGUUGUCCGGAUUUAUUGGGCGUAAAGGGCUCGUAGGUGGUUGAUCGCGUCGGAAGUGUAAUCUUGGGGCUUAACCCUGAGCGUGCUUUCGAUACGGGUUGACUUGAGGAAGGUAGGGGAGAAUGGAAUUCCUGGUGGAGCGGUGGAAUGCGCAGAUAUCAGGAGGAACACCAGUGGCGAAGGCGGUUCCCUGGGCCUUUCCUGACGCUGAGGAGCGAAAGCGUGGGGAGCGAACAGGCUUAGAUACCCUGGUAGUCCACGCUGUAAACGGUGGGUACUAGGUGUGGGGUCCAUUCCACGGGUUCCGUGCCGUAGCUAACGCUUUAAGUACCCCGCCUGGGGAGUACGGCCGCAAGGCUAAAACUCAAAGGAAUUGACGGGGCCCCGCACAAGCGGCGGAGCAUGCGGAUUAAUUCGAUGCAACGCGUAGAACCUUACCUGGGUUUGACAUGGAUCGGGAGUGCUCAGAGAUGGGUGUGCCUCUUUUGGGGUCGGUUCACAGGUGGUGCAUGCCUGUCGUCAGCUCGUGUCGUGAGAUGUUGGGUUAAGUCCCGCAACGAGCGCAACCCUUGUUCACUGUUGCCAGCACGUUAUGGUGGGGACUCAGUGGAGACCGCCGGGGUCAACUCGGAGGAAGGUGGGGAUGACGUCAAGUCAUCAUGCCCCUUAUGUCCAGGGCUUCACGCAUGCUACAAUGGCUGGUACAGAGAGUGGCGAGCCUGUGAGGGUGAGCGAAUCUCGGAAAGCCGGUCUCAGUUCGGAUUGGGGUCUGCAACUCGACCUCAUGAAGUCGGAGUCGCUAGUAAUCGCAGAUCAGCAACGCUGCGGUGAAUACGUUCCCGGG
Molecule: ribosomal RNA, 1343 nt
Filed under: uncultured bacterium
Lineage: Bacteria
Description: 16S ribosomal RNA
Rfam family: Bacterial small subunit ribosomal RNA
Source: RNAcentral